AGAGUUUGAUCCUGGCUCAGGAUGCAUGCUAGCGACAGGCUUAACACAUGCAAGUCGAGGGGCAGCGGGGUAGGAAGCUUGCUUUCUGCCGCCGGCGACCGGCGCACGGGUGAGUAACACGUAUGCAACCUGGCCGUGACUGAUGGAUAACCGGGAGAAAUCCCGCCUAAUACAACAUAAUGCCGGGAGGGGACAUCCCCUGCCGGCCAAAGGGGGCGACCCCGGUCACGGAUGGGCAUGCGGCGCAUUAGGUAGUUGGUGGGGCAACGGCCCACCAAGCCGACGAUGCGUAGGGGUUCUGAGAGGAAGGUCCCCCACAUUGGAACUGAGACACGGUCCAAACUCCUACGGGAGGCAGCAGUGAGGAAUAUUGGUCAAUGGCCGGAAGGCUGAACCAGCCAAGUCGCGUGUGGGAAUAAGGCCCUACGGGUCGUAAACCUCUUUUGCCAGGGAGCAAUGCCGUCCACGUGUGGACGGAAGGAGAGUACCUGGAGAAAAAGCAUCGGCUAACUCCGUGCCAGCAGCCGCGGUAAUACGGAGGAUGCGAGCGUUAUCCGGAUUCAUUGGGUUUAAAGGGUGCGCAGGCGGAGCGUCAAGCCGGCGGUAAAAUCGUGGGGCCCAACCCCAUCCCGCCGUCGGAACUGGCGCCCUUGAGUGGCCGAGAGGUAGGCGGAAUGCGUGGUGUAGCGGUGAAAUGCAUAGAUAUCACGCAGAACGCCGAUUGCGAAGGCAGCCUACUGGCGGCCCACUGACGCUCAGGCACGAAAGCGUGGGGAUCAAACAGGAUUAGAUACCCUGGUAGUCCACGCAGUAAACGAUGGAUGCUAGCCGUCCGGGGGAAUUGGCCCCUGGGGGGCGCAGCGAAAGCGUUAAGCAUCCCACCUGGGGAGUACGCCGGCAACGGUGAAACUCAAAGGAAUUGACGGGGGCCCGCACAAGCGGAGGAACAUGUGGUUUAAUUCGAUGAUACGCGAGGAACCUUACCCGGGCUCAAACGCCAUAGGACAGUCCUUGAAAGAGGAUCUCCCCUCGGGGCCUAUGGCGAGGUGCUGCAUGGUUGUCGUCAGCUCGUGCCGUGAGGUGUCGGCUUAAGUGCCAUAACGAGCGCAACCCCCGCCGCCAGUUGCCACCAUUUCGGAUGGGCACUCUGGCGGGACUGCCAGCGCAAGCUGCGAGGAAGGCGGGGAUGACGUCAAAUCAGCACGGCCCUUACGUCCGGGGCGACACACGUGUUACAAUGGCGGGGACAGAGGGAUGCCACCUGGCGACAGGGAGCGAAGCCCCAAACCCCGCCCCAGUUCGGAUCGGAGUCUGCAACCCGACUCCGUGAAGCUGGAUUCGCUAGUAAUCGCGCAUCAGCCAUGGCGCGGUGAAUACGUUCCCGGGCCUUGCACUCACCGCCCGUCAAG
This 1409-nucleotide ribosomal RNA is filed under the name uncultured bacterium. RNAcentral's name for it is "bacterial SSU rRNA". It matches the Rfam family "Bacterial small subunit ribosomal RNA". The record is from RNAcentral.